UACCAACCUUUGUGGGGUCCCCACUGCCAGCUGGCCAACAGGCAAGCAAUCUCCAAAAUUCCUCAUUGGAGCCUGUUUCCUAGGACCAUUGGUUGGGUCCCCUGAAGACAGCUCUGAAAUGGAGAUUUGUGGGCAGUUGUCAGUAGGCGAGAGCUCCAGGCCUCAGCACUGUGAUGGAGGAGGGAAGCAGUGCUGGUGGAGGGAGCUCGAGCUGCCAUGUAGUUGCAACAGAAGCUUUGGCCAAUCCCACAAGGGGCUUCCGAGCUGGGACUGCCCUUGAGAGUUGCCCCACUUCAGGCAGGGGGAUGCUGGCCCUGUAACCCUGCAUCCGUCUGCCACUGGGUGCUGGCUGCCCUAGGAGGGUGAGCGUGCCCUUGGAUAGGGUGGCUCCCUUCAGCCAAGGGCAGUCCCCUGGAGGGGACACAGCUACGACAGCCACCACUUCCAGCAGCUGGGGAAGGAACAUCUCAGUCUGCAGUGGGAUCUAGGGGGAGCAGCGGAGCAUCCAUCCCGGCAACCCCAGGCUUUUCAAAACACAGUGAGGUUUGCGGAAAUAAUUGUUGUGGCAUGUGGGACACCGCCUCAGCGUGGCUUGACAAGCAGUGCCAUGUCCGUGCCCAGGAUUACGAACCAACGAAACACUGGGCCCCCUGCAGCGGAGCGCGCGAACUUAACCACUCGGCCACGGGGCCAGCUCCAGUCCUUAAAAGGAAGAAAUCGGUUUCAGGAUGCAACUCACAGGUCCAUUCCAGAAGGUCAGGAGGUGCAGACGAGUUGAGCUGUUGACUCAGCUGAGACAUGCUCCUAACAUCGUCCUGCUUAAGUGCACGCAUCUUUUCAAGUGCAGCUAACUUACAGCCCAAGACAGAGGUCUGAUUUUUACAGAAGCUCCAAGAACUUCAUGGAGUUUUGUCCUCAAAGCAGACAGGGACGUGGGGCAGCUGCAGGAGAACGGGAGGAGGAGAGGCCGACGGCGCCGGGCGCAUGCGGAACGAGCGGGUGCCCACCCCAGGGCCCCGCCUUGUGUCUGUGACUCUGCUCUCUAAAGGCUGGCUGUGGAGUGAGACCACGUCAUUCAUUAUCAGCUGGCUUAUCUCCCUCUUGGUUUAUUUGUAGAAAGUUUCCGAAGCGUAUCUGUGAACCCUUAUUCCAUGGGAUGUCAACAAGUGUUACACACACACACACACACACACACACACAAACAGAAAAAACAACUAUCCACAGUCAAAUAAGCUUCUUUACUGCAGAAUUCUCAGGAAUUCUAGGAUCCCAGGCACACUGCGAAUCAGCACGAGAGGAACCCUGAGUGGACACGCUCAUGUUUACUGGUGAUGACGCUUUUUUCUGCAGAACAUCUGACAGGAACAGCACUGCCUGGAAGGAAGCUCAGGAAACACAGGCUUAGCUUCCUCUCUAAAUCAGUUUAUUCUCUUGUGGAUACCAGGGAUGGCAAGGAAGAUGCUUCAUCACGUAGAACAGAGAAGAAAGUGGUUCUGGGAUUAAACUGUUGUUAUAGGGAACUCACAGAACGGCCAAUUCACGCGGACAAAAUCUCUGAGAACUGACAGUUACCGUUGUGUAACUUCAUAAUGGGAUGGCGAGGAUGGGCCCUGGGCUCGUUUUUAUAUACACUGUGAAAGUUGGCAAUAGCAAUCUAUCCCUCGGUAUUUUAGAUCAAUUAUGUAAAGUUAGAAUCAUUUCGAUUUCAUUUCUCUCAAUCCACCAGACCUGAUUUUUAAAAAUUCAAGAUUCACUCAUUUGAUUUAAGUAUCACUAGUGUGAAGUAUUUCCAUCCUCCUUCUACUGGAAGCGAAUUUCCCGGUUAGGACACGGCUUCACUAGAGACGAGUAACAGCGGCUGUAACUGGAUGCUGUGUGAUUUCAUCACGCUGUGAAAACACUUCGACCAGUCCAAAUUGGUCUAUGAAGGUUUCUUUCUGUUUGUUCCAGUUCCAGCUCUCCUAAUCACUCCAGCUCCUGUGUUUGCUGGGAUUUUGUGAUAUCUCUGGAUUCUGACACAUGCUAUGAUUCAGUGCCAAAUUCCAUUUCCUAAGUUAUUG
This 2060-nucleotide long non-coding RNA is filed under the name Equus asinus (donkey). Its description in RNAcentral is "lncRNA (ENSEASG00005030533.1)". Lineage: Eukaryota; Metazoa; Chordata; Mammalia; Perissodactyla; Equidae. The record is from RNAcentral.